UUACAAUCAGACCAAUUAGCAGGUGGACAGCUGCUUUAAAGCGCGCGGACCCUACCGACCCACCCAACGUCUCUCGCGGUGGUUUCUCCAGUCUCGAGCCUUUUUUCUUUCCAAGCCCAACAUGUGUGUGCUGUCGGUCGGACUGCUGAGGGCCCCACGGGCUCUUGCUCCCAGGACGGGUGUACUGAUUCAACAGCGAGCAGGUUAUAUCAAUGGCAAACCACCUAAAGAUAACAUUGGUCCAGCGCAAACUGCCUUCGUGCUGGCUGUGAUGAGUCUGGCCAUCCUCGGACCUUCCGGUUGGAUACUUUCCCACUUGGAGCAUUAUAAAAGCCGUGAAUGAUGGACGAGGCCCUGAAGAACCGCUGACACUUGUUAAAGACAGCAUGCCUGCUGUUAAAUCUGCCUUUUGAACCCUUUCAGACGUUUUGCUAACAUAAUAAACUUGAGUUUGUUCUCUCUUA
Molecule: long non-coding RNA, 464 nt
Organism: Morone saxatilis (striped sea-bass)
Lineage: Eukaryota; Metazoa; Chordata; Actinopteri; Moronidae
Exons: 2
Source: RefSeq, a predicted model, not a curated record